This 450-nucleotide ribosomal RNA is filed under the name uncultured bacterium. RNAcentral's name for it is "bacterial SSU rRNA". It matches the Rfam family "Bacterial small subunit ribosomal RNA", at positions 29 to 524 of the family's 1533-position model. The record is from RNAcentral.
AGCGAACGCUGGCGGCAGGCCUAAUACAUGCAAGUCGAACGGUCUCUUCGGAGGCAGUGGCGGACGGGUGAGUAACGCGUGGGAACGUGCCCUUUGGUACGGAACAACUGAGGGAAACUUCAGCUAAUACCGUAUGUGCCCUUCGGGGAAAGAUUUAUCGCCAUUGGAGCGGCCCGCGUUGGAUUAGCUAGUUGGUGGGGUAAUGGCCCACCAAGGCGACGAUCCAUAGCUGGUCUGAGAGGAUGAUCAGCCACACUGGGACUGAGACACGGCCCAGACUCCUACGGGAGGCAGCAGUAGGGAAUCUUGCGCAAUGGGCGAAAGCCUGACGCAGCCAUGCCGCGUGAAUGAUGAAGGUUUUAGGAUUGUAAAAAUUCUUUCACCGGGGACGAUAAUGACGGUACCCGGAGAAGAAGCCCCGGCUAACUUCGUGCCAGCAGCCGCAGUAAU